Molecule: non-coding RNA, 341 nt
Organism: Pogona vitticeps (central bearded dragon)
Lineage: Eukaryota; Metazoa; Chordata; Lepidosauria; Squamata; Agamidae
Source: RefSeq, a predicted model, not a curated record
GGAGAGCAGGAAAUGAACAACUACUGCAUGUUACACGCCACAGGUCAGCAGAAGGAUGAAAGAGGUGUGCUGACUGGGAACUGCUUGCAUGACUGCCCUUCUCGCUUACUGUCUUUGCUGAAUCACCAGCCGGAUCCCUCCUUGGAAAUGAACUCUACGGAAUGCCCUUAGGACUGCGACAGCAGAAACCUCUCCCACCUAGCUUAGAUCUCCAGGAAGCCUCGCGUCCUACCAAUGGAAAACGGCCGGCGUCGAGGUUGCCUCUUUGAUCCCUGCCCAUCCAGACAUGCCACAGAGAAAACAAAGAUCCGGCCCCUGCCUCCCCUUGCUUUGCAGAGCGG